GCAACACAAAACAUUUCCUUGUAACCUCUUCAAACUUCUUUAUAGUGCCUUAAAAAAAGUUAUCCAAGGCAGAUCUUGCAAGAAUAGGAGAGAAAGGAUUCAAAACUCUAGAAGCGUUCCACAGAAACUGGGCGAGGCCUAAUCAACAAAAACCUUAUGUUCCAAAAGAAUGUAAUCAGGCUUGUCUUUCGUGUGCGAACCAUGUCAGGUUCACGAAAAACCAGAUGAGAAUAUGAUCACACGGUGUUGCAGUUAUAUGAUAGAGGAAUAAUUAAGGAUUUUACUAAGAAAUCUCAUGCUAUAGCAUAAUAGCGUACUAUCUUCUGGACUAUGUUUACAUGCAAUAGGAUGUGUGUGCGUGUGUACAUAGUUAAGUAUGCCUCCUUUGUAUGAUACAAAUGUGGAGUCACUUGUGUAUAUAUUAGUCACACCGCAGUUUUACGCGUGUAGAUGAAAUCUUAACACUUUGUAUUAUGGAAUGAAUUGUUAUUAGCUUUAGUACUAAAUCAGUAAUCUUCAGCUCCUCCCCUCCCUCCCCUCCAACCAAUCCUGAUCAAAGCACGGUCUUUUAAGGCCAAAGCAGGGUGUUCGAGCCGGCUCAUUCCCCUUUUCUCAAAUAGAAAUGUCUCACUGAAGAACAAAAUUUCUAUUAAAUUUCAUCAUAUUCCACCAGGAAUUUGGCAUAUAGUGGAAUGUCAUUAGUACAAGAUGGUGAAAAGUCUUUUUCCA
This 729-nucleotide long non-coding RNA is filed under the name Olea europaea subsp. europaea. Lineage: Eukaryota; Viridiplantae; Streptophyta; Magnoliopsida; Lamiales; Oleaceae. The record is from RNAcentral.